Molecule: ribosomal RNA, 472 nt
Filed under: uncultured bacterium
Lineage: Bacteria
Description: SSU rRNA
Rfam family: Bacterial small subunit ribosomal RNA
Source: RNAcentral
AGGAUAAACGCUGGCGGCGUGCCUAACACAUGCAAGUCGAACGCGCUUUCGGGCUUCGGUGCGAGAGCGAGUGGCGGACGGGUGAGUAACACAUGGGUACCUACCUUGGAGUGAGGGAUACCGGCGAGAAAUCGCCGACAAUACCGCAUAGGCUUCUUCACAAGGGAAGCAAAGUGACGCGAGUCACGCUGUGAGAUGGGCCUGUGGCCGAUUAGCUAGUUGGGGGGGUAACGGCUUCCCAAGGCGACGAUCGGUAGCUGGUCUGAGAGGACGAUCAGCCACCACUGGGAUUGAGAACGGCCCAGACUCCUACGGGGGCAGCAGUGAGGAAUUUUCCGCAAUGGAGGCAACUCUGACGGAGCAACGCCGCGUGCAGGAGGAAGGUUUUCGGAUCGUAAACUGCUUUUCGUCGGGGACGAGCAAGGACGGUACCCGAGGAAGAAGCCCCGGCUAACUACGUGCCAGCAGCCGC